CAGUAGCCGCGGUAAUACGAAGGGGGCUAGCGUUGUUCGGAUUUACUGGGCGUAAAGGGCGCGUAGGCGGGCUGAUAAGUCGGGGGUGAAAUCCCAAGGCUCAACCUUGGAACUGCCUUUGAUACUGUUGGUCUUGAGUCCGGGAGAGGUGAGUGGAACUGCGAGUGUAGAGGUGAAAUUCGUAGAUAUUCGCAAGGACACCAGUGGCGAAGGCGGCUCACUGGCCCGGAACUGACGCUGAGGCGCGAAAGCGUGGGGAGCAAACAGGAUUAGAUACCCCGGUAGUCCCUGUCUCUUAUAU
Molecule: ribosomal RNA, 301 nt
Filed under: uncultured bacterium
Lineage: Bacteria
Description: partial 16S ribosomal RNA
Rfam family: Bacterial small subunit ribosomal RNA
Source: RNAcentral